GCUUAAUAUUAAAAUUUUAUUUGGUUGAAUUUUUAAUUAUAAGAACUUAGUAACUAAAUUUAUUUUAUUGGGGUGAUAAGAGUAAAAUGAUUAUUAACUGCUUAAUCUCAAAUACACUUAUAGGUGAUUAAAUUUUUAAAUGAUCCUAAUUAAAGAUUAAAAGUUCAAGUU
RNAcentral lists this ribosomal RNA (171 nucleotides) under Chasmagnathus convexus. Its description in RNAcentral is "partial 16S ribosomal RNA". The record is from RNAcentral. Lineage: Eukaryota; Metazoa; Arthropoda; Malacostraca; Decapoda; Varunidae.